AAAACGCACCAGGGGUGCCUGUAUCUGCCAUUUAGCUCUUUGGCAUUUUGGCAGAAUGAGGCUGAGAAAGUCCCUUUGAACCUGAUCAGGAUAAUUCCUGCGUAGGGAGUGUGCAUUUUUGUUGCU
Gossypium hirsutum (cotton) is the source of this 126-nucleotide non-coding RNA. The record is from Rfam. Lineage: Eukaryota; Viridiplantae; Streptophyta; Magnoliopsida; Malvales; Malvaceae.